GGAGAUACAGCUCAGUGGUAAAGUGUGGGCUUAGCACGCACGAGGUCCUGAGUUCAAUCCCCAAUAUCUCCA
Molecule: transfer RNA, 72 nt
Filed under: Camelus bactrianus (Bactrian camel)
Lineage: Eukaryota; Metazoa; Chordata; Mammalia; Artiodactyla; Camelidae
Also listed under: 2 other names
Rfam family: tRNA
About the family: Transfer RNA (tRNA) molecules are approximately 80 nucleotides in length. Their secondary structure includes four short double-helical elements and three loops (D, anti-codon, and T loops). Further hydrogen bonds mediate the characteristic L-shaped molecular structure. tRNAs have two regions of fundamental functional importance: the anti-codon, which is responsible for specific mRNA codon recognition, and the 3' end, to which the tRNAs corresponding amino acid is attached (by aminoacyl-tRNA synthetases). tRNAs cope with the degeneracy of the genetic code in two manners: having more than one tRNA (with a specific anti-codon) for a particular amino acid; and 'wobble' base-pairing, i.e. permitting non-standard base-pairing at the 3rd anti-codon position.
Source: Rfam by way of RNAcentral